GCAAGUCGAGCGCUUCACUUCGGUGAGGAGCGGCGGACGGGUUAGUAACGCGUGGGAACAUACCCUUUUCUAAGGAAUAGCCACUGGAAACGGUGAGUAAUACCUUAUACGCCCUUCGGGGGAAAGAUUUAUCGGUGAAGGAUUGGCCCGCGUUAGAUUAGUUUGUUGGUGGGGUAAUGGCCUACCAAGACUACGAUCUAUAGCUGGUUUGAGAGGAUGAUCAGCAACACUGGGACUGAGACACGGCCCAGACUCCUACGGGAGGCAGCAGUGGGGAAUCUUAGACAAUGGGCGCAAGCCUGAUCUAGCGAUGCCGCGUGAGUGAUGAAGGCCUUAGGGUCGUAAAGCUCUUUCGCCAGGGAUGAUAAUGACAGUACCUGGUAAAGAAACCCCGGCUAACUCCGUGCCAGCAGCCGCGGUAAUACGGAGGGGGUUAGCGUUGUUCGGAAUUACUGGGCGUAAAGCGUACGUAGGCGGAUCAGAAAGUAAGAGGUGAAAUCCCAGGGCUCAACCCUGGAACUGCCUUUUAAACUCCUGGUCUUGAGUUCGAGAGAGGUGAGUGGAAUUCCAAGUGUAGAGGUGAAAUUCGUAGAUAUUUGGAGGAACACCAGUGGCGAAGGCGGCUCACUGGCUCGAUACUGACGCUGAGGUACGAAAGUG
Molecule: ribosomal RNA, 660 nt
Filed under: uncultured bacterium
Lineage: Bacteria
Description: bacterial SSU rRNA
Rfam family: Bacterial small subunit ribosomal RNA
Source: RNAcentral